RNAcentral lists this ribosomal RNA (3114 nucleotides) under Lachancea thermotolerans. RNAcentral describes it as "21S ribosomal RNA". It matches the Rfam family "Bacterial large subunit ribosomal RNA". Lineage: Eukaryota; Fungi; Ascomycota; Saccharomycetes; Saccharomycetales; Saccharomycetaceae. The record is from RNAcentral.
AAUAAUAGAUUUGAAAUAUUUAUUAUAUAGAUUUAAAGGGAUAAUCAUGGAAUACAUAAGUUAUUAAUAGUUAUAGGUUACUAAUAAAAUAUAUUAUAUAUAUUUUUAAUACCUAAGGGAAACCUGUAAUAUAAAACUAAGUGAACUGAAACAUCUAAGUAACUUAAGGAAAAUAAAUCAACCGAGAUAUCAUAAGUAUUGGUGAGAGAAAAUGAUAUAGUCAAAAAUUAAUCAAAUGAUUAAUUUAAAUAAGUAUUAUGUAAGAUAAUAUGUAAGAAUAUAGGACAAACUAGUUCUAAGACUAAAUACUAUUAAUAAACAAAAUAAGUACCGCAAGGGAAAGUAUGUAAAUGGUUAUUCUAUAAGCAGUUAUAAAUAUAUAAAUUAUAUUAAUAACGUACCUUUUGUAUAAUGGGUCAGCAAGUAAUUAAUAUUAGCAAAAUAUAUAUAUAUACAUUAAUUUAUAUUAAUGUUAUUAUAUUAUAAAUAAAUUGAAUAUUUAAUAAUUGUAUAAUCUCACCUUUUCUUUAGUAUAUCUGGGAGAGAUGGGAAUUAAGUUAAUAUUAAUUGACCCGAAAGCAAAUGAUCUUAUUAUGACAAGACGGAAAUAUUAUAAAUAAUAAUAAAACGGUCGAACAGGUUGAUGUUGCAAAAUCAUCUGAUUAGUUGUGAUAAGUAGUGAAAGACAAAUCUGAUUUGCAGAUAGCUGGUUUUCCACGAAAUAUAUGUAAGUAUAGCCUCUUUUUCUCCCCUCAGUUUAUCUUGGGGGGAGGUAUAUAAUUAUUAUAUUAUAAUAAAUAUAAUGAACGGUACAGCUACAAAUAUCCUCGUUAUGUAAUACAUAACGGGUUUUGGGGAAUUAUUGUAAUUUUAUCAAAGAUAUUUGAUCUCGAAAUGUUUAAUUAUAUUAUAAGAGAGUCAGACUAUGCGCGAUAAGGUGAAUAGUCUAAAGGGAAACAGCCCAGAUUAAGAUAUAAGGUUCCUAAUUUAAUAAUAAGUGAAAUAAAUAUUAAAAUAUUAUAAUACAAUUAGUUGAUGGGUUUGACAAUAACCAUUCUUUAAUGAACAUGUAACAAUGCACUAAUUUAUAUUUGUUAAUAUUUCAAAUCAAAAAAUAUAUUUAUUUAUUUUUUGUUAAUAGACAAUAUACGGAUCUUAUAUAUAUUAUUAUUAAUAAUAUAUUAAUAAUAAUAAUAAUUAUUAAACCGAAUAUCUAAAUAUUAUUAUAUAUAAUAAAAUAUAAUAAUAUGGUAGUGGAACAUCUAAUGAAAAAAUAUAUUAGUCAUUGAUUAAUAUAAUAUAUAUAUUUAUAUAUAUAUAUAAAUAAUUAGAUAGAGAAUGCUGACAUGAGUAACGUAAAAAAGGUAUAAACCUUUUCACCUAAAGCAUAAGGUUUUACUAUAAAAGUACGGCCCUUAAGUUAUAUAAGAAUAUAAAUAUAUAAAUGAUAGGAUAAAUCUAAAUUAAAAACAAAAACUUUAUUAUUAAUAAAAAUUAAUAAACUAAUAAAGUUCAAGAAAUAUUUUUAAUGGAUACCGUAAUGUAUACCGACUCUGGUAUGUUAGUAGAGAAUAUGAAGGUGAAUUAGAUAAUUAAAGGGAAGGAACUCGGCAAAAAUAGCUCUAACGUUAGUCAAUAAAGAGAACCCCCUCUAGAGGGGGUAUUAAGAACAAAGUUGUCCAACUGUUUACUAAAAACACCGCACUUUGCAGAAACGAUAAGUUAAAGUAUAAGGUGUGAACUCUGCUCCAUGCUUAAUAUAUAAAUUAUAUUAUUUAAAGAUAAUAUAAUUAAAGUUAGGUAAAUAGCAGCCUUAUUUUGAGGGUUCUAAGGUAGCGAAAUUCAUUGUCCACUAAUUAUGGUCCUGCAUGAAUGACGUAAUGAUACAACAACUGUCUCCCCUUUAAGCUAAGUGAAAUUGAAAUCGCAGUGAAGAUGCUGUGUACCUAUAGUGUGACGGAAAGACCCUAUGCAGCUUUACUGUAAUUAGAUAGAUCGAAUUAUUAUAUAUCAUAUUCAGAAUAUUAAGUAAUUGUUUAAAUAAAUAUGAGAUACUUAUUAUGAUAUCUAUAAUAAUUCUAAUCCUAUAUAUUUAUUUAAUAGAUAUAUUCUUAAAUUAACCCCCCCCCAAACGAAGUGAGGGAGAGGGAAGAUAGGAGACAAUCUCUAAUUGGUAGUUUUGAUGGGGCGUCAUUUUCAGCAAAAGUAUCUGAAUAAGUCCAUAUACAUAUUAUAAUCUUAUUAUAAUUCUAAAGUAUAUAUUAUAUAUAUUAAUUGUAAAUUAGCCCCCCCGAAGGGGGGGAGUAUUCUUUGGAUACUCCCUCCAUUAUAUUUGGGAGUUGGGAUAUAAUAGAAUAAAUUAUGUACAGUAAAAUUGUCUGGAAAACAAUAAUAAAAUUAAUAAAAAAAAAUAAUUAAUUUAUAAUAUAAUGUAUUAAAUUAAUAUAAUGGUUUAACUGUGCAACAAUUGUAACACAAACAAGUGAAACAAGUACGUAAGUAUGGCAUAAUGAACAAAUAACACUGAUUGUAAUGGUUAUUGAUAACGAAUAAAAGUUACGCUAGGGAUAACAGGGUAAUAUAGCGAAAGAGUAGAUAUUGUAAGCUAUGUUUGCCACCUCGAUGUCGACUCUACCUAUCCUCUUGGUUGUAAGUGCUAAGAAGGGUUUGACUGUUCGUCAAUUAAAAGGUAACGUGAGUUGGGUUAAAUACGAUGUAAAUCAGUAUGGUUCCUAUCUACUAUAGGUAAUAUUAUCAACUUAAGUCUCAUUCUUAGUACGCAAGGAUCAGAAUGAAUUAACCUAUGGUGCAUCUAUUGAUUAUUAUAUAAUAUAUUUUUCCCCGAAAAAUAUAUUAUCUAUAUUAGUUUAUAUUUUAAUAAUAGUCAUAGUAGAUAAGCUAAGUUAAUAAAGAAUAAGUAUUGAAUGCAUAUCAAAUACGAAGUUGUCUUAAUAUGAGAUAAUUAACUGAUUAUUUUAUACUAAAAUAUAUAUAGGUUUUAUUUUUAUUUAUAUACCUCUUAUUAAGGUCCCCGCUCCGCGGGGACCCUUGUAAAAGGAAAGAAAUGUAAAAUACUAAUUUAUCAGUCAUCUAUAUAAUAUCUAAUCUAUUAUU